CAACAGAGGGAAGCAAGACCGCGAGGUGGAGCAAAUCCCUAAAAAGCCAUCCCAGUUCGGAUUGCAGGCUGAAACCCGCCUGUAUGAAGUUGGAAUCGCUAGUAAUCGCGGAUCAGCAUGCCGCGGUGAAUACGUUCCCGGGCCUUGUACACACCGCCCGUCACACCAUGAGAGUCGGGAACACCCGAAGUCCGUAGCCUAACCGCGAAGGGGGCGCGGCCGAAGGUGGGUUCGAUAAUUGGGGUGAAGUCGUAACAAGGUACC
This 264-nucleotide ribosomal RNA is filed under the name uncultured bacterium. RNAcentral's name for it is "partial 16S ribosomal RNA". It matches the Rfam family "Bacterial small subunit ribosomal RNA", at positions 1237 to 1500 of the family's 1533-position model. The record is from RNAcentral.